RNAcentral lists this ribosomal RNA (318 nucleotides) under uncultured Nitrospira sp. Its description in RNAcentral is "bacterial SSU rRNA". It matches the Rfam family "Bacterial small subunit ribosomal RNA", at positions 335 to 655 of the family's 1533-position model. Lineage: Bacteria; Pseudomonadati; Nitrospirota; Nitrospiria; Nitrospirales; Nitrospiraceae. The record is from RNAcentral.
ACUCCUACGGGAGGCAGCAGUAAGGAAUAUUGCGCAAUGGGCGAAAGCCUGACGCAGCGACGCCGCGUGGGGGAUGAAGGUCUUCGGAUUGUAAACCCCUUUCGGCAGGGAAGACGGAGCGGGUAACCGCUCGGACGGUACCUGCAGAAGCAGCCACGGCUAACUUCGUGCCAGCAGCCGCGGUAAUACGAAGGUGGCAAGCGUUGUUCGGAUUUACUGGGCGUACAGGGAGCGUAGGCGGUUGGGUAAGCCCUCCGUGAAAUCUCCGGGCCUAACCCGGAAAGUGCGGGGGGGACUGCUUAGCUAGAGGAUGGGAGA